RNAcentral lists this transfer RNA (62 nucleotides) under Gossypium hirsutum (cotton). It matches the Rfam family "tRNA". From Rfam's summary of the family: Transfer RNA (tRNA) molecules are approximately 80 nucleotides in length. Their secondary structure includes four short double-helical elements and three loops (D, anti-codon, and T loops). Lineage: Eukaryota; Viridiplantae; Streptophyta; Magnoliopsida; Malvales; Malvaceae. The record is from Rfam by way of RNAcentral.
GGUCCCGUGUCUCAGUUGGUCUUAUGAGCCGAAGGUCGCGGGUUCGAGCCCCGCCGGGACCC